UAAGCAUAUCAAUAAGCGGAGGAAAAGAAACCAACAGGGAUUGCCUCAGUAACGGCGAGUGAAGCGGCAUAAGCUCAGAUUUGAAAUCUCUCUAUCUCGUAGAGCGAAUUGUAAUCUGUAGAAGGUUGAAUGGCUGAAUAGUCUGAUUUAAGUUCCCUGGAAUAGGACAUCAUAGAGGGUGAGAAUCCCGUGAUUAUCAGAGGCUUUCGGUCGCAUAUUCACCUUUCGACGAGUCGAGUUGUUUGGGAAUGCAGCUCUAAAUGGGUGGUAAAUUUCAUCUAAAGCUAAAUACCUGCCAGAGACCGAUAGCGAACAAGUAGAGUGAUCGAAAGAUGAAAAGCACUUUGAAAAGAGAGUUAAACAGUACGUGAAAUUGUUGAAAGGGAAGCGCUUGCGAUUAGACUUGAUAUUCAGAUUCAGCCAACCCUCGGGUUCGGCCUAUUUUCUAUCUAUCAGGCCAGCAUCAGUUCGGUGGGGCUUAUAAAGACAGUCGGAAUGUAGUAACCGCUUCGGUGGUCAUGUUAUAGCCUUCUGUGUCCUAAACCCAUGCCGGACUGAGGUCUGCUCUUCGGAAAGGAUGCUGGCAUAAUGAUCGUAAGCGACCCGUCUUGAA
This 613-nucleotide ribosomal RNA is filed under the name Santricharia farinosa. RNAcentral's name for it is "Tricharia farinosa partial large subunit ribosomal RNA". It matches the Rfam family "Eukaryotic large subunit ribosomal RNA", at positions 35 to 658 of the family's 3401-position model. The record is from RNAcentral. Lineage: Eukaryota; Fungi; Ascomycota; Lecanoromycetes; Ostropales; Graphidaceae.